Long non-coding RNA from Schistocerca nitens (vagrant locust), 407 nucleotides. RefSeq lists it as uncharacterized. The record is from RefSeq and is a predicted model, not a curated record. The transcript is spliced from 3 exons. NCBI's taxonomy places the organism in Eukaryota, Metazoa, Arthropoda, Insecta, Orthoptera, Acrididae.
GCUACGCAGCAGCGACGGUAGCCGUACACUUCCCCGCAAAAUCUGAGAUUCUCUCUGUACUUCUUGUUGCUGCUCCUACCUACCACUAGCGGCUACCUGCUGCCAUCAUCAAGAUUUGGGACAUUGGUACUUAAUUGGUUAACGACGAUACGGCCGCAAUUGGGGAACUUCAAUGACAAAAGCGACUAUGACAAAAGGGACAUUGGUGCCUGGAAAGGAGCAUCUCGGAAAUGGUGAAGCUCGUCAGCUGAUGGCUCAUGUCUGUAGAAAUUCAAAUUGGUAGCGGAUAUAGUGAGUGCUGGAGAUCGCUUCAAAUUCAACACACCUCUGGAGAAUUGCUGCAGUGUCGCCGUUCUGUAAUAUUUUCCGUCAACAAUUUGUUGUAACAUACUUAAAUAUAUGCUCAA